RNAcentral lists this ribosomal RNA (253 nucleotides) under uncultured bacterium. Its description in RNAcentral is "partial 16S ribosomal RNA". It matches the Rfam family "Bacterial small subunit ribosomal RNA", at positions 524 to 776 of the family's 1533-position model. The record is from RNAcentral.
UACAGAGGUGGCAAGCGUUGUUCGGAAUUACUGGGCGUAAAGGGCGAGUAGGUGGCCAUCUAAGUCAGACGUGAAAUCCCCCGGCUUAACCUGGGAACUGCGUCUGAUACUGGACGGCUUGAGUAUGGGAGAGGAACGUAGAAUUCCAGGUGUAGCGGUGAAAUGCGUAGAUAUCGGGAGGAACACCAGUGGCGAAGGCGACUACCUGGCCUGUUCUUGACGCUGAGGCGCGAAAGCUAGGGGAGCAAACGGG